ACUUUUGUCACUGUUUAAAAUAAUAUUCGGAAAACAACUGAAUACAUCUGCAAGUAUAAGUAUACGCUUUUAAAUUUACCGCCAAGCGAUCACGAGACUUGCUGCAUCAUCAGACCCGCAAUCAGCUGGUCGCUGCUUGUGUAAAUAAAAAGUUGCGCAAGUAUAGGGAGUGCAAAAUAGUUUGCUAAACGCAUUAUGAUCAUAGCGAGCAGCUACUAUUGUUGUUUCGAAUGGAGGGAGUUUGAAAUACAGCCUGAUUCAGUAAAAUGACCAACGUCGCCAAGCAGAUGCAAAUUAAACUCAGAAUAAAGCAAGCGCCGCAAGUGAAGCAAAGGAGUGCGGAAGUGAUGUUUUUAUAACGGAAUAAUUUUGUUGCCGUCGACGAUGCUGUCUCAGGACGAUGUGCGCCGCCUUUCGACUGAUUCCCAACUUUGUUAUCAUCCAUCGGAUAGCACACGACGGGGGAUGCCGCGUAAUUUAAUUGCGUGUAAUUCACCACAUCAAGCGUCAAGCAAACAGCUCUUAAUACUCAACGAAAAACCUAUCAACAGUAAAA
This is a long non-coding RNA of Camponotus floridanus (Florida carpenter ant), 556 nucleotides long. RefSeq lists it as uncharacterized. Lineage: Eukaryota; Metazoa; Arthropoda; Insecta; Hymenoptera; Formicidae. The record is from RefSeq and is a predicted model, not a curated record. The transcript is spliced from 2 exons.